GCUGGCUAAAGGGUAUUAAUCAUGUUUUCAUGCACCCAUUGGGACAUUUGCUCCCUCUCUUGAAAACUGUCUAUUCAGCUCAGUUCAGACCCUACUUCCGAUUUCAGUUUGUUCCCUAAAAGCUGCAGCAUCCUACUAGAAAUAUCUUGGCUUCCUCUGUUUCUUCGGGUCCUUGAACUAAGAGGGGGAAAAAGAAGAAAGAGGAUGAAUCACUUUAUUUGCUUUGUUUAAUCUUUCAGAUUCCCUCAGGCUCCACACUUAAAGGGCAGCAAACAGGAGAAGAAAAAUAAGAUGAGGGAAGGAUGGUGAUUGGCCCCAGGACUGUCUCCUCGGCUUUAGAGUUAAGAAGAUCCCUCAAUCAGCCUGGAUCUAUAGCUAGGACUGAAGAGAAACUGGAAGAGAGAAUUCUGUGUGAGACACAGACACUAAGACAAAUGAUUUCUGCAUAUAAGGACAAUCGGGGACCAAGGAAAUGUGAUCUAGUGGAGAGGAACAGACCAUUUGUACUCAAGAUGGAGUUAUUCCAAGGCUAUACAGGCUUCCUGAGACACCUCAGAACAUGGAGGUUUCUUUCUUCAGAGUUAAUGUGGUACAUUUGUAAUAAACACUUGCUGGACUGAAGGA
This is a non-coding RNA of Rattus norvegicus (Norway rat), 624 nucleotides long. The record is from RefSeq and is a predicted model, not a curated record. NCBI's taxonomy places the organism in Eukaryota, Metazoa, Chordata, Mammalia, Rodentia, Muridae.